Long non-coding RNA from Ipomoea nil (Japanese morning glory), 103 nucleotides. RefSeq lists it as uncharacterized. The record is from RefSeq and is a predicted model, not a curated record. The transcript has 4 exons. NCBI's taxonomy places the organism in Eukaryota, Viridiplantae, Streptophyta, Magnoliopsida, Solanales, Convolvulaceae.
UCGUCUAGUAUUUAAUCAUAAAAAUCAAUUAUUGAUCGUAAGAUAGAACAUGUACUAAUUGAAGUUUAAUUAAUUUAGAAAAAAAAAUUAAUCGAGAGACAAA